UACGGAGGGUGCAAACGUUGCUCGGAAUUAUUGGGCGUAAAGCGUACGUAGGCGGUCCAGCAAGUCGGGUGUGAAAGCCCUUGGCUUAACCAAGGAAGUGCAUUCGAAACUACUGGACUUGAAUACUGGAGAGGAUCGCGGAAUUCCCGGUGUAGAGGUGAAAUUCGUAGAUAUCGGGAGGAACACCAGUGGCGAAGGCGGCGAUCUGGACAGAUAUUGACGCUGAUGUACGAAAGCGUGGGGAGCAAACAGG
This 253-nucleotide ribosomal RNA is filed under the name uncultured bacterium. RNAcentral describes it as "partial 16S ribosomal RNA". It matches the Rfam family "Bacterial small subunit ribosomal RNA", at positions 524 to 776 of the family's 1533-position model. RNAcentral also lists the same sequence under 1 other name. The record is from RNAcentral.